This 464-nucleotide ribosomal RNA is filed under the name Vreelandella stevensii. Its description in RNAcentral is "partial 16S ribosomal RNA". It matches the Rfam family "Bacterial small subunit ribosomal RNA", at positions 338 to 795 of the family's 1533-position model. The record is from RNAcentral. Lineage: Bacteria; Pseudomonadati; Pseudomonadota; Gammaproteobacteria; Oceanospirillales; Halomonadaceae.
CCUACGGGCGGCUGCAGUGGGGAAUAUUGGACAAUGGGCGAAAGCCUGAUCCAGCCAUGCCGCGUGUGUGAAGAAGGCCUUCGGGUUGUAAAGCACUUUCAGUGGGGAAGAAAGCCUUGGGGCUAAUACCCUCGAGGAAGGACAUCACCCACAGAAGAAGCACCGGCUAACUCCGUGCCAGCAGCCGCGGUAAUACGGAGGGUGCGAGCGUUAAUCGGAAUUACUGGGCGUAAAGCGCGCGUAGGCGGUCUGAUAAGCCGGUUGUGAAAGCCCCGGGCUCAACCUGGGAACGGCAUCCGGAACUGUCAGGCUAGAGUGCAGGAGAGGAAGGUAGAAUUCCCGGUGUAGCGGUGAAAUGCGUAGAGAUCGGGAGGAAUACCAGUGGCGAAGGCGGCCUUCUGGACUGACACUGACGCUGAGGUGCGAAAGCGUGGGUAGCAAACAGGAUUAGAUCCCCAGUAGUC